Molecule: long non-coding RNA, 2159 nt
Organism: Myxocyprinus asiaticus (Chinese sucker)
Lineage: Eukaryota; Metazoa; Chordata; Actinopteri; Cypriniformes; Catostomidae
Exons: 5
Source: RefSeq, a predicted model, not a curated record
GGUAAUUCAAUUAUUCAAUACAUAAAUAACUGCACGUAGAAUCAAAUAUAAAGUAGCACCACGUAUCUUUUUGUUGGAUGAUAAAAGUAAACAUAUUAUUUCACAAAUGAACUGUUAAACCCGAGGGAGUGGAAGAGGAAGAAACCGAGACGGUGAGGUGCGUGAAACACCGAUGUUAACUCGUUACUUUUAAAACACAUAAAGCACAUAAAGCACAUGGCCCUCUUACAAAAAAGUUAUCAUGGUUAAUCAUAAUAAUACAUCUCAAUCAAACAGUGUAAAGCUUUCAGAAUCUUUCUGUCAUUUCAGUGUCAGUGGUGGCUUACAUGAUACCAAAAUACCACAGUUUUUUUGUUUUUUGUAAUGAUUGUUUGAAUGUUUUACAUGUUUUUGAAGUUAAAAUUUGUAUUAAUGUAGCCUAUAAGGUGAAGUCGUGUAACUGGUCACAAUUUCCUUCGAGCCCUUUACCAUUUCAACACCUUUUUGUCUUCAAUAGUUCAUUUUAAAGGGUCCUGUGGUGUGAUAAAAUUACAACUUUUCCACAUAGUCUCUCAGUUAAUGAGGCCAUAAAAGCUGCAUGCAUGAUAAUUAUAAAAUAAUGAGCAAAAGGCUGUUUAAAAUAGUUUUACGUUUAGCCUAGUAUAAAGACGUCAACUUCCAUUUCAAAAAUGUUAAUAUUUUGAAAGGGUCUGUACACUUUGUUAUGAGUAUGUUGUAUUUAUGUUUUUGUCUUCCAGAGCAGAGAUGUGCACCUGUCCAUAUCUUUGUCUUAUGCAUUACACCACGGUGCCAGUAAGAUGGGUCUAUAUAUGAACUCAGAUGGCUUUGUAUUUGUGCAAGAACUUCUCGCUCAUCAGCAGUUCUGCUCAUUUUCAUUGAAUGAUGUGGAAAGAGUUGUGGCCACCAAUGAUAAGCAGCGAUUCAAGCUUCGCUGAUGAUGGGCGUCUCCAGAUAUAAGCCAAUCAUGGUCACUCAAUGCAGGUGGUAGAUCUGGAGUUGAGAGCAGUAACAUAUGAUGAUUCAAAUUGUCCAAGAGUAGCUGUUCAUGGCUCAUACAUGAAACACUGGCCAUCUAUAAGCAGCCAGGGCCUCAGCUGAAAGAGCAGGAUUCACAUACACCUGGAGUCAUCAGUGGUAUGAGGCAGGGAUGUGACCUGGCUUUGUACAUCGAUGUCCCAAAAGCUAUGUCAGCUUGUGAAAUUGAGCUACUGUACAUUAGCUGUUGGAGAGGAUUUCUUUCUGACUUUACCACUAAAACCUGGAGACAUGUUGAUCUGCUGAACUUGAAGACAUGAUGAAACUCACUGGGAUCUACUGGGAGUGGUUCUUUACUCAAACAUUUGGUAACAUUAUAGUGUAAGGCUUAUUUCAAAAGAAGAAAUAUCUGAAUUAAAUCCACAAAGAAUGUCCAAAACACGUUUACUUUUAUGAAACGAAGGCUGCAUUAGCCACUGUCACAGGUGAAACCCAUUAAAUUGCAGGAUUACAUUUUCCAGUGUAUCUACAGGAUCACAUCUGCAACACAACACCAAAAAAAAAAAAAAAAAAAAAAAAAUGCAUUUAAAAGACAUGAUCUCAUCCGCUCGGAUGGAGAAAAACUUUUUCAUUUUGGCAUUUAUUGAAUUGAAUAAACUGUAAAAGAAAGUCUGUAAAAGAUAUUUGAUACAUGGGAAGCCAUGCAUAAUGGACUUGACAAUUAACAUGGGAAUGAUGCAAUUGCUAUAACAGAAGUAAUUUGUUUACAAUACUUUAUUACAGUAUAUGUGAAUUUUCUGUUAGACUGUUUGUGUCUUGUCAUCUCAAACAGGUACAACAUUUUAGCUUUAGAAUUUUCUGAACAACAUAUCUUUAAGGGAUGUUUAAGGGAUGAUUAUGGAGUCAGUAACUUAUUUGAAAGGUUGCCUGGUAUUUUGUGUACAAAUUGUCAAGUGACCUACUAAGCCUGUUUUAUUUGUAGGGCAGUUCCUGCCCACUGCAUAUUUGUCAAAAAAUAGAGUAUCUAAAUUCACUUGAGACCUCAAGAUAGAGAUGUCUAUGUCUCAUGUAUCUGGUGGGGGAUUUCCAGCAAGCAUUUAUGUACAGUGUACUAGAUGGGGACAAAUAGCAUGUUAAGGUCUUAUCAUUGUUUUUAUUGCAAAUGAAAACUGAAUUAAAAACAC